This is a long non-coding RNA of Panonychus citri (citrus red mite), 3042 nucleotides long. RefSeq lists it as uncharacterized. The transcript has 4 exons. NCBI's taxonomy places the organism in Eukaryota, Metazoa, Arthropoda, Arachnida, Trombidiformes, Tetranychidae. The record is from RefSeq and is a predicted model, not a curated record.
AAUUUCUUUCUCAUUGAUUGUUUAUCCUUUUAAUUGAUUGAUUUUUUUUCAUUUCUUUUAAUUAUUCCACCAAAUAUUACAAGUAUCUUUUAUCUUAAGUGUAAUCAUAUAAAUCAUCUAGUGUAUACAAAGAAAACUCUGAAAAGUAUGUUUAUAUUUGCAUCUCAAGUGAUGAAAAGAGAGAAUCAUUUUUGACCCUGGUAACCCAAUCCAAAGAGAUACAGUGUAACCAUCUAAAGGAUUAAUUCAACAACCACACUUGUAUAUUAAUACCAUAGGGAAAGUCAGGCCCAAUAAUUUUCUCUAUAUAUACAUAAUAUUAUGAUUACUAUCAACAUUGUUAUUAUAUUAUUAUUAUCACUACCAUGAUUGUUGUAGUAGUGAAGUAUAAUAUUACUCUCAGUCAUAUAAUGUUAUUAAUAUUCAGUGAAAAGUAUGAAAAAAAAAUUGAAAAGGCCAAGAUGUAUAAUAGUAAUGAAAAAAAAAGCUAUGGUUUGAAAGAAAUGUAAUAAUAUUAUGAAUACAAGUGAAUACGUUUUUUUUUCCUUCAUCUUCAUCCUCAUUAUCAUCAUCAUCAUCAUCAUCAUCUUCCACCACCUCUACCUUUCAGUAACCGUUAUAUAUAUUAUACGAAAUUGAGAUUGAAUCAUUUGUUUCAGUUGAGUUGAUUUUGAAGAGUCACUUGACUGUUUCAAAAGAAAACAUUACCACCAGAACUUUAUAUUAUUUAGUUGAUAAGUGAAUGAAUCAAAUGAUGAUGAUGAUAACAUUGAGAUAGUAGAGGAAGAAAGACUCAGAAUAAUAUUCAACCAUAUUAUUCACCAGAAAUUCAGAUAGAGAGAGAGAUAAACUCCAAUGGCUUUUUUAUGUGCUAUGUUACUACUUGGGUCGAUCAAUUUUUUUUCCUUCUCCCUGAAUAUUACCUUUUUCCACCAUGUUAUUCAUUCAUUUAUCUUCUCUUUCAUUUUAUCUCUUCAGGUCUCUACCUCUUGGUCAUCAAACCUUCAAAAAUUAUCAUCACCAUCAACCAUUAUCAUUAUUAUUUAUGUUACCUGAGCACAAGAUAAUCCAACACAUCUCAACAUCAACUCAAGUGAAUGGAGAGGAAAAACAAAAUACUCAUUUUUUAUUUGAUUAUUUGAUUAUCAUUAGUUUGUUAUUGUUAUCUGUCUUUAUUCAUUAUUAUUCUGCUUCCAAUUCAUGAAUAUAAUAUCAUCAUGAAGAAGGGAUAUUCAUCAUGUUGUUAGAUUGAAAUUAGUUUGAUUUAACUAAUGGUAAAUAACAAUAAUGAUAAUAAUACAUGAUGAGAAAAUAAUAGACUCGUUCGUUCAUUUGAUUAUUUGAUUAUUUUUAUUGGAAUGAAUUGAAUAAUCGUAUUAUCAUCAAUAAGUUAAUGAUAAUGAUGAUGAUUACCAACAAUAACAACAACAAAUCACUGAUGAUUAAUAAUUGAUUAGUUAACUUUUACUUCGUAAUCGUAUGAUUACAAUAAUAGUGACUUUCUAACUGAGAUUUGAUGUUUUUUUUGUUUCAUCAACAAUAUUAAAACUCACCUCAUACAUAAAUAUCACAAACUAAAAGGUUCAGUUAAUUGUGAUGAUUAAUUAACUUACUUGGACAACUUUUCCACCAAUAUUAUGAGUUGAUUUGGAAAUUUCCUUUAAAAUUACUUUGGUGGCUCCGGUUGCAUUUCGCUUGAGUGAAUCUCGAGAUGAUUGUUUACAAUGAAGAGUAAAAUUCAAUAGAGAUGCAGCUCUUUUGGGAUCAUUGUUAUGAUUAUUAUUAUUAUUAUUAUUGUUAUUCUGAUUGUUACCAUUAUUGUUUGAUUGACCAUUGUUAUUAUUGGAAUUGUUGGUUCUAUUGGUCAACUCAUUGGGACGUAAAUUGAUUGAAUUAGUGGCUGUUGAAUUAACACUUGAACCUAAUUCACCGGGUAACAAUUGACCAUCAGAUGUAUCAAGGGAACCACCACCAAGAACAUGAUGAUUCCGAGUUGAAUGACGACGACGACGAUGAUGAUGAUGAUGAUGAUGAUAAUUGUGAUGACCAUGUUGCUGAUAUUUAGGAUGAAUUAAAGGUGAUGAUGAUUGGUGCAAAUAGGAUUGAUAAUGUUGAUGUUGUUCUUGAUUGAUUAAGGCAGUUGAUGGAUUAUUGGAAAGUUCCUGUGAAGUUAAUGUUAAUGAUGAUGAUUGCUGGUGACAAUUAGUAUUAUUAUCAUCAAUAUUAUUCACAUUAACACUACCAGAAUCACCACUUACAUUAAAUUGAUAAUAUAAAUUUUGCUUAUGUUGAUGUCGAGAAGAUGAUGAAGAUGAUGAAUUAGGUUGAUGUUGAACUUUUGUUAUCCUGUUAAUCCUUUCAUCACAUUGAUUAUCACUACAAUUUAAAUUAACAAUUACAUUGCAAUGUUCACCUCUAUUACUACAAUCAUCAUUAUCAUCGUCACCACCACCAAUAACUGGAUUAAUGUUGUCACCAUCAUGAUUAUCCUCCUCUUCCUCUUCCUCAUCAGUUACCUGAUCAUCAAUAUCAUCGGUUGUUGGUAAUUGAGUGUAACCUUUUUUACCGUUUUCCUUAACAUUGGACAUUGAUGAACUUGUAGUCGCUAAAUUAAUAUAUGAUUGAGUUGAUUGUUGCUGUUGUUUAUCAAAGAGCGAUGAAGAUGAAGAUGAUGAAAUUGAUUGUGAGGCAAACAUUGAUGAUUUCACAUAUUAUCCAACAACAAUUAAAAGAUUAAUCAAUUGAAAACUGAGAGAGACACAAACACAAUAAACAUGGAAACCAAAUUAACCAAUAACAAUCAGAAUCUAAUCGAUGGAAUCAACAAACAUUUAUGGAAACGGAACAUUGAACAGGAGGAAAAAAAACGAAUAUGGAAAACUCAAUGAAUCGAGAUGAUUACAAAUUAGAAAAUUAAACUGACACAGGUCGAUCACUUUCCAUUCUCAGGGAAAAACACCAAGGAACAGGCAAGAUGGCGACACAGGUCACACAGGGAGUUUUCCAAUAUCAUGAAGAUAAUAUUGUUAUUUUCGUCUCUCU